UACGUAGGGUGCGAGCGUUAAUCGGAAUUACUGGGCGUAAAGCGUGCGCAGGCGGCUUCGCAAGUCAGACGUGAAAUCCCCGGGCUUAACCUGGGAAUGGCGUUUGAAACUACGGAGCUGGAGUGUGGCAGAGGGAGGUAGAAUUCCACGUGUAGCAGUGAAAUGCGUAGAUAUGCGGAGGAACACCGAUGGCGAAGGCAAUCCCCUGGGCCUGCACUGACGCUCAUGCACGAAAGCGUGGGGAGCAAACAGG
RNAcentral lists this ribosomal RNA (253 nucleotides) under uncultured bacterium. Its description in RNAcentral is "partial 16S ribosomal RNA". It matches the Rfam family "Bacterial small subunit ribosomal RNA", at positions 524 to 776 of the family's 1533-position model. The record is from RNAcentral.